UACGGAGGGUGCAAGCGUUGUCCGGAAUCACUGGGCGUAAAGGGCGCGUAGGCGGCUCAUGAAGGCUGUGGUGAAAGUCCGGGGCCCAACCUCGGAUCGGCCGUGGCGACUCGUGGGCUGGAGCACUGUAGAGGCGGGUGGAAUUCCGGGUGUAGCGGUGGAAUGCGUAGAGAUCCGGAAGAACACCAGUGGCGAAGGCGGCUCACUGGUCCAUUACUGACGCUGAGGUGCGAAAGCGUGGGUAGCAAACAGG
This 253-nucleotide ribosomal RNA is filed under the name uncultured bacterium. Its description in RNAcentral is "partial 16S ribosomal RNA". It matches the Rfam family "Bacterial small subunit ribosomal RNA", at positions 524 to 776 of the family's 1533-position model. The record is from RNAcentral.